RNAcentral lists this ribosomal RNA (451 nucleotides) under uncultured bacterium. RNAcentral describes it as "partial 16S ribosomal RNA". It matches the Rfam family "Bacterial small subunit ribosomal RNA", at positions 28 to 507 of the family's 1533-position model. The record is from RNAcentral.
GAUGAACGCUGGCGGCGUGCCUAACACAUGCAAGUCGAGCGGCAGCGAGGGGUGCUUGCACCCUGUCGGCGAGCGGCGGACGGCUGAGUAACGCGUGGGAACGUGCCCCAAAGUGAGGAAUAACUGCCCGAAAGGGUAGCUAAUACCGCAUAUUAUCUUCGGAUCAAAGGAUUUAUCCGCUUUGGGAGCGGCUCGCGUCGGAUUAGGUAGUUGGUGAGGUAAUGGCUCACCAAGCCGACGACCCGUAGCUGGUCUGAGAGGCUGACCAGCCAGACGGGAACUGCGACACAGUCCAGACUCCUACGGAGAGCUGCAGUGAGGAAUCUUCCACACUGGGCGAAAGCCUGAUGGAGCAACGCCGCGUGCAGGGCGAAGGCCUUCGGGUUGUAAACUGCUUUUAUAAGUGAGGAAUAUGACGGUAACUUAUAAAUAAGGAUCGGCUAACUACGUG